GCCACCUUAGCUCAGUUGGUAGAGCGGAGCUUUCGUAAAGCUCAGGUCGCUGGUUCAAGUCCAGUAGGUGGCU
Molecule: transfer RNA, 73 nt
Filed under: Phycisphaeraceae bacterium
Lineage: Bacteria; Pseudomonadati; Planctomycetota; Phycisphaerae; Phycisphaerales; Phycisphaeraceae
Also listed under: 3 other names
Description: tRNA-Thr
Rfam family: tRNA
About the family: Transfer RNA (tRNA) molecules are approximately 80 nucleotides in length. Their secondary structure includes four short double-helical elements and three loops (D, anti-codon, and T loops).
Source: RNAcentral